AGUGAACGCUGGCGGUAGGCCUAACACAUGCAAGUCGAACGGCAGCACAGUAAGAGCUUGCUCUUACGGGUGGCGAGUGGCGGACGGGUGAGGAAUACAUCGGAAUCUACUUUUUCGUGGGGGAUAACGUAGGGAAACUUACGCUAAUACCGCAUACGACCUACGGGUGAAAGCAGGGGAUCUUCGGACCUUGCGCGAUUGAAUGAGCCGAUGUCGGAUUAGCUAGUUGGCGGGGUAAAGGCCCACCAAGGCGACGAUCCGUAGCUGGUCUGAGAGGAUGAUGGGCAACAUUGGAACGUGGACGGGGCCCAGACUACUACGGGAGGCAGCAGUGGGGAAUAUUGGACAGUGGGCGCAAGCCUGAUCCAGCCAUACCGCGUGGGUUGAGAAGGCGUUGGGGUUGUAAAGCCAUUUUGUUGGGAGAGAAAAGCAGCAGGUUAAUACCCCGCUGUUCUGACGGUACCCAAAGAAUAAGCACCGGCUAACUUCGUG
This 492-nucleotide ribosomal RNA is filed under the name uncultured bacterium. RNAcentral's name for it is "partial 16S ribosomal RNA". It matches the Rfam family "Bacterial small subunit ribosomal RNA", at positions 29 to 507 of the family's 1533-position model. The record is from RNAcentral.